CACGUGGGGAACCUGCCCCAUAGUCUGGGAUACCACUUGGAAACAGGUGCUAAUACCGGAUAAGAAAGCGGAUCGCAUGAUCAGCUUUUAAAAGGCGGCGUAAGCUGUCGCUAUGGGAUGGCCCCGCGGUGCAUUAGCUAGUUGGUAGGGUAAAGGCUUACCAAGGCGAUGAUGCAUAGCCGAGUUGAGAGACUGAUCGGCCACAUUGGGACUGAGACACGGCCCAAAACUCCUACGGGAGGCAGCAGAG
Molecule: ribosomal RNA, 250 nt
Filed under: uncultured Lactobacillus sp.
Lineage: Bacteria; Bacillati; Bacillota; Bacilli; Lactobacillales; Lactobacillaceae
Description: partial 16S ribosomal RNA
Rfam family: Bacterial small subunit ribosomal RNA
Source: RNAcentral